UACGUAGGGGGCAAGCGUUGUCCGGAAUCAUUGGGCGUAAAGCGCGCGUAGGCGGCUAGAUCAGUCUGCUGUAAAAGUCAAAGGCUCAACCUUUGAAAGCCGGUGGAUACUGUCUAGCUAGAGUCCGGAAGAGGCGAGUGGAACUCCUAGUGUAGAGGUGGAAUUCGUAGAUAUUAGGAAGAACACCAGUGGCGAAGGCGGCUCACUGGUCCGGUACUGACGCUGAGGUGCGAAAGCGUGGGGAGCAAACAGG
Molecule: ribosomal RNA, 253 nt
Filed under: uncultured bacterium
Lineage: Bacteria
Description: partial 16S ribosomal RNA
Rfam family: Bacterial small subunit ribosomal RNA
Source: RNAcentral